AUUCCAGCUCCAAUAGCGUAUAUUAAAGUUGUUGCGGUUAAAAAGCUCGUAGUUGGAUUUCUGUCGAGGAUGGCCGGUCCGCACUUUGUGCGUGCAUCUGGUUCAGCCUUGGCAUCCUCCUGGGGAACGUAUCUGCGCUUAAUUGCGUGGUGCGGUAUCCAGGACUUUUACUUUGAGGAAAUUAGAGUGUUCACGGCAGGCAAACGCCUUGAAUACAUUAGCAUGGAAUAAUAAUAUAGGACCUUGGUCCCAUUUUGUUGGUUUCUGGAACUGAGGUAAUGAUUAAUAGGGAUAAUUGGGGGCAUUCGUAUUAACGUGUCAGAGGUGGAAUUCUUGGAUUACGUUACGACGAACUACUGCGAAAGCAUUUGCCAAGGAUGUUUUCAUUA
Molecule: ribosomal RNA, 389 nt
Filed under: Syndiniales sp.
Lineage: Eukaryota; Dinophyceae; Syndiniales
Description: partial small subunit ribosomal RNA
Rfam family: Eukaryotic small subunit ribosomal RNA
Source: RNAcentral